This 2364-nucleotide unclassified non-coding RNA is filed under the name Homo sapiens (human). Its description in RNAcentral is "gamma-aminobutyric acid type B receptor subunit 1 (ENSG00000232569.8)". Lineage: Eukaryota; Metazoa; Chordata; Mammalia; Primates; Hominidae. The record is from RNAcentral.
AUGUUGCUGCUGCUGCUACUGGCGCCACUCUUCCUCCGCCCCCCGGGCGCGGGCGGGGCGCAGACCCCCAACGCCACCUCAGAAGGUUGCCAGAUCAUACACCCGCCCUGGGAAGGGGGCAUCAGGUACCGGGGCCUGACUCGGGACCAGGUGAAGGCUAUCAACUUCCUGCCAGUGGACUAUGAGAUUGAGUAUGUGUGCCGGGGGGAGCGCGAGGUGGUGGGGCCCAAGGUCCGCAAGUGCCUGGCCAACGGCUCCUGGACAGAUAUGGACACACCCAGCCGCUGUGUCCGAAUCUGCUCCAAGUCUUAUUUGACCCUGGAAAAUGGGAAGGUUUUCCUGACGGGUGGGGACCUCCCAGCUCUGGACGGAGCCCGGGUGGAUUUCCGGUGUGACCCCGACUUCCAUCUGGUGGGCAGCUCCCGGAGCAUCUGUAGUCAGGGCCAGUGGAGCACCCCCAAGCCCCACUGCCAGGUGAAUCGAACGCCACACUCAGAACGGCGCGCAGUGUACAUCGGGGCACUGUUUCCCAUGAGCGGGGGCUGGCCAGGGGGCCAGGCCUGCCAGCCCGCGGUGGAGAUGGCGCUGGAGGACGUGAAUAGCCGCAGGGACAUCCUGCCGGACUAUGAGCUCAAGCUCAUCCACCACGACAGCAAGUGUGAUCCAGGCCAAGCCACCAAGUACCUAUAUGAGCUGCUCUACAACGACCCUAUCAAGAUCAUCCUUAUGCCUGGCUGCAGCUCUGUCUCCACGCUGGUGGCUGAGGCUGCUAGGAUGUGGAACCUCAUUGUGCUUUCCUAUGGCUCCAGCUCACCAGCCCUGUCAAACCGGCAGCGUUUCCCCACUUUCUUCCGAACGCACCCAUCAGCCACACUCCACAACCCUACCCGCGUGAAACUCUUUGAAAAGUGGGGCUGGAAGAAGAUUGCUACCAUCCAGCAGACCACUGAGGUCUUCACUUCGACUCUGGACGACCUGGAGGAACGAGUGAAGGAGGCUGGAAUUGAGAUUACUUUCCGCCAGAGUUUCUUCUCAGAUCCAGCUGUGCCCGUCAAAAACCUGAAGCGCCAGGAUGCCCGAAUCAUCGUGGGACUUUUCUAUGAGACUGAAGCCCGGAAAGUUUUUUGUGAGGUGUACAAGGAGCGUCUCUUUGGGAAGAAGUACGUCUGGUUCCUCAUUGGGUGGUAUGCUGACAAUUGGUUCAAGAUCUACGACCCUUCUAUCAACUGCACAGUGGAUGAGAUGACUGAGGCGGUGGAGGGCCACAUCACAACUGAGAUUGUCAUGCUGAAUCCUGCCAAUACCCGCAGCAUUUCCAACAUGACAUCCCAGGAAUUUGUGGAGAAACUAACCAAGCGACUGAAAAGACACCCUGAGGAGACAGGAGGCUUCCAGGAGGCACCGCUGGCCUAUGAUGCCAUCUGGGCCUUGGCACUGGCCCUGAACAAGACAUCUGGAGGAGGCGGCCGUUCUGGUGUGCGCCUGGAGGACUUCAACUACAACAACCAGACCAUUACCGACCAAAUCUACCGGGCAAUGAACUCUUCGUCCUUUGAGGGUGUCUCUGGCCAUGUGGUGUUUGAUGCCAGCGGCUCUCGGAUGGCAUGGACGCUUAUCGAGCAGCUUCAGGGUGGCAGCUACAAGAAGAUUGGCUACUAUGACAGCACCAAGGAUGAUCUUUCCUGGUCCAAAACAGAUAAAUGGAUUGUUAUAUCCAGAACUCACAGCCCAACCUGAACAACCUGACUGCUGUGGGCUGCUCACUGGCUUUAGCUGCUGUCUUCCCCCUGGGGCUCGAUGGUUACCACAUUGGGAGGAACCAGUUCCCUUUCGUCUGCCAGGCCCGCCUCUGGCUCCUGGGCCUGGGCUUUAGUCUGGGCUACGGUUCCAUGUUCACCAAGAUUUGGUGGGUCCACACGGUCUUCACAAAGAAGGAAGAAAAGAAGGAGUGGAGGAAGACUCUGGAACCCUGGAAGCUGUAUGCCACAGUGGGCCUGCUGGUGGGCAUGGAUGUCCUCACUCUCGCCAUCUGGCAGAUCGUGGACCCUCUGCACCGGACCAUUGAGACAUUUGCCAAGGAGGAACCUAAGGAAGAUAUUGACGUCUCUAUUCUGCCCCAGCUGGAGCAUUGCAGCUCCAGGAAGAUGAAUACAUGGCUUGGCAUUUUCUAUGGUUACAAGGGGCUGCUGCUGCUGCUGGGAAUCUUCCUUGCUUAUGAGACCAAGAGUGUGUCCACUGAGAAGAUCAAUGAUCACCGGGCUGUGGGCAUGGCUAUCUACAAUGUGGCAGUCCUGUGCCUCAUCACUGCUCCUGUCACCAUGAUUCUGUCCAGCCAGCAGGAUGCAGCCUUUGCCUUUGCCUCUC